UUGUCAUUCAUUACUGGGUUUAAGUUGUAAAAAGGUAACCGUAGGGGAACCUGCGGUUGGAUCACCUCCUUACCUUAAAGAACUGU
RNAcentral lists this ribosomal RNA (86 nucleotides) under Salmonella enterica subsp. enterica serovar Enteritidis. RNAcentral's name for it is "partial 16S ribosomal RNA". The stretch from base 1 to 72 matches the Rfam family "Bacterial small subunit ribosomal RNA", at positions 1462 to 1533 of the family's 1533-position model. Lineage: Bacteria; Pseudomonadati; Pseudomonadota; Gammaproteobacteria; Enterobacterales; Enterobacteriaceae. The record is from RNAcentral.